GGGGGCGUAGCUCAGCUGGUUAGAGCGUCUGCCUGUCACGCAGAAGGUCGCGGGUUCGAGUCCCGUCGCUCCCGCCA
This 77-nucleotide transfer RNA is filed under the name Candidatus Moraniibacteriota bacterium. Its description in RNAcentral is "tRNA-Asp". It matches the Rfam family "tRNA". From Rfam's summary of the family: Transfer RNA (tRNA) molecules are approximately 80 nucleotides in length. The record is from RNAcentral. Lineage: Bacteria; Candidatus Moraniibacteriota.